This 1568-nucleotide long non-coding RNA is filed under the name Homo sapiens (human). RNAcentral describes it as "HSALNT0002377". Lineage: Eukaryota; Metazoa; Chordata; Mammalia; Primates; Hominidae. The record is from RNAcentral.
CUGGAUGCGAGCUCUUUGUCAGAUGUAAGGAUUGUGAGUUACCUCCUCUAUUAGCAAAUUUAACUUGCUUAUUCAUCAACUCAUUCCAAGAGCACCAAUAAGGAAUGGGCCAGGCCCUGUGCUGGGUGCUGGGUUAUCAGAAUGAGUAUGAUGUGGCCCUCAUUCUUGAAGACAGCUCGACCGUGAUGGAGGAGACAGGCAUUUAGAAUAAGCAUGAAAUAAAGGUGGCUGUUAAGGGGUCAGCUCCCCUCACCAAAGUCACUUUUGAUUUACUUACAAAAGUUUUCUUAAGAUUUCUUCAGAACCCAGGUCAAAAGGCUGUGGCAGGAGGCCAGGCAGAUCACAGCGUCCAUGCCUAGAUGCUCCCUGACCCCCAGGAACCAGAAGUGCUGUCUCCUGAAGGCUCUGGAAACCCGGAAUCAGCCUACGAGGCACCAGGGCCACCUUGGAGGGUGGAAAUGAGGACCUCAGGCCCCAGAGGGCAUGCAGGCGAGGUGAAGUUCAGGAGAGGGAACUCACAGCGAAAUCUACCAACCAAAGAGGAUGUCCAUACCUGUCUUUUUCUUUCUUCCUUCAUUUUUUGACUUAAUUUCCUCACUUGAAAAAAAAAAAUAAAACACCUUAUUCAGGGUAUACUUUAUGGGCAGUCUUAAUUUUUUUUAUUAGGAUGUGGGAUGUAAAUCCAUAAAAGAAGUAGAAGUGCUGAGCCUUCCUGUGGAGUGGGUGCUGGAGGGGAAAAGGUGGAGUUAGGGGAGGGAAGGGGAGGGCAGGAAGGUUGGUGAUGGGCAGAGAUUCACAGAGACUCCCAGGUCAGGGAGCAAUCCCCCAGUCAGGGCAGCAGGAAUGCCCAGAGGAAUUCUGAUCGGGACAGACGUCGGGCACUGAAUGAAGAGAGGUCCCUCAGGGGCCUGGUCUCAGGGGCCUUGAAUUCCACGCAAAGCGUGUCUUGAGCAUCAACUAUAUGCCAGGCACCUUUUACAUAUAUUAUUUCUUACUUCUAAAUUAUUCCAGAUUUUAAGCCGGGUGCAGUGGCUCACGCCUGUAAUCUCAGCAUUUUGGGAGGCCAAGGCAGAUGGAUAACCUGAGGUCAGGAGUUCGAGACCAGCCUGGCUAACACGGUGAAACCCCGUCUCUACUAAAAAUACAAAAAUUGCCUGGGUGUGGUGGUGCAUGCCUGUAAUCCUAGCUACAUGGAAGGCUGAGGCAGGAGGAUUGCUUGAACCUGAGUGGCAGAGGUUGCAAUGAGCUGAGAUUGUGCCACCGAGCUCCAGCCUGGACUACAAAGUGAGACUCCAUCUCAAAAUAAUAAAUAAAUAAAUAAAUAAAUCUAUCAAUCCAGAUUUUACCAAUUAGGAGACUGAGCCUCAGAGAAGUUAAAUCACUUGUCCAGAGCCCUGAAAUUGGAGAAGCAGCUGCGCUCAGACUGGAACCCUAGAUGGUAGGGCCCCUUAGUCCUCCUUUAUCUUGGGGGGAUCCAGGGAAGGCUUUUCAGCAGGGGAAUGAUGCAAUUGGAUACACAUGUCAGGGGGAACAUGACUGCUUGUGGCAAGGAACGCAGUAAGCCUGGG